AACGAACGCUGGCGGCAUGCCUAACACAUGCAAGUCGAACGAGAUCUUCGGGUCUAGUGGCGCACGGGUGCGUAACGCGUGGGAAUCUGCCCUUUGGUUCGGAAUAACAGUUGGAAACGACUGCUAAUACCGGAUGAUGACGAAAGUCCAAAGAUUUAUCGCCAGAGGAUGAGCCCGCGUAGGAUUAGCUAGUUGGUGUGGUAAAGGCGCACCAAGGCGACGAUCCUUAGCUGGUCUGAGAGGAUGAUCAGCCACACUGGGACUGAGACACGGCCCAGACUCCUACGGGAGGCAGCAGUGGGGAAUAUUGGACAAUGGGCGAAAGCCUGAUCCAGCAAUGCCGCGUGAGUGAUGAAGGCCCUAGGGUUGUAAAGCUCUUUUACCCGGGAUGAUAAUGACAGUACCGGGAGAAUAAGCCCCGGCUAACUCCGUGCCAGCAGCCGCAGUAA
RNAcentral lists this ribosomal RNA (449 nucleotides) under uncultured bacterium. Its description in RNAcentral is "partial 16S ribosomal RNA". It matches the Rfam family "Bacterial small subunit ribosomal RNA", at positions 29 to 523 of the family's 1533-position model. The record is from RNAcentral.